CGUUAGCGGCGGACGGGUGAGUAACACGUGGGUAACCUACCUAUAAGACUGGGAUAACUUCGGGAAACCGGAGCUAAUACCGGAUAAUAUUUCGAACCGCAUGGUUCGAUAGUGAAAGAUGGUUUUGCUAUCACUUAUAGAUGGACCCGCGCAGUAUUAGCUAGUUGGUAAGGUAACGGCUUACCAAGGCGACGAUACGUAGCCGACCUGAGAGGGUGAUCGGCCACACUGGAACUGAGACACGGUCCAGACUCCUACGGGAGGCAGCAGGC
This 272-nucleotide ribosomal RNA is filed under the name uncultured Staphylococcus sp. Its description in RNAcentral is "partial 16S ribosomal RNA". It matches the Rfam family "Bacterial small subunit ribosomal RNA", at positions 90 to 354 of the family's 1533-position model. The record is from RNAcentral. Lineage: Bacteria; Bacillati; Bacillota; Bacilli; Caryophanales; Staphylococcaceae.